UACGGAGGGUGCAAACGUUGCUCGGAAUUAUUGGGCGUAAAGCGCACGUAGGCGGCCGAAUAAGUCGGGUGUGAAAGCCCUGGGCUCAACCCAGGAAGUGCACUCGAAACUGCUCGGCUUGAGUAUGGAAGAGGGUUGCGGAAUUCCCGGUGUAGAGGUGAAAUUCGUAGAUAUCGGGAGGAACACCGGUGGCGAAGGCGGAUCUCUGGGCCUGUCCUGACGCUGAGGCGCGAAAGCUAGGGGAGCGAACAGG
Molecule: ribosomal RNA, 253 nt
Filed under: uncultured bacterium
Lineage: Bacteria
Description: partial 16S ribosomal RNA
Rfam family: Bacterial small subunit ribosomal RNA
Source: RNAcentral